RNAcentral lists this ribosomal RNA (237 nucleotides) under Stenotrophomonas sp. PsdiesE2. RNAcentral describes it as "partial 16S ribosomal RNA". It matches the Rfam family "Bacterial small subunit ribosomal RNA", at positions 29 to 259 of the family's 1533-position model. The record is from RNAcentral. Lineage: Bacteria; Pseudomonadati; Pseudomonadota; Gammaproteobacteria; Lysobacterales; Lysobacteraceae.
CUAGUGCACGCUGGCGGUAGGCCUAACACAUGCAAGUCGAACGGCAGCACAGGAGAGCUUGCUCCCUGGGUGGCGAGUGGCGGACGGGUGAGGAAUACAUCGGAAUCUACUCUGUCGUGGGGGAUAACGUAGGGAAACUUACGCUAAUACCGCAUACGACCUACGGGUGAAAGCAGGGGAUCUUCGGACCUUGCGCGAUUGAAUGAGCCGAUGUCGGAUUAGCUAGUUGGGGGGGUC